Molecule: ribosomal RNA, 429 nt
Filed under: Verrucomicrobiota bacterium
Lineage: Bacteria; Pseudomonadati; Verrucomicrobiota
Description: Verrucomicrobia bacterium partial 16S ribosomal RNA
Rfam family: Bacterial small subunit ribosomal RNA
Source: RNAcentral
UAGGGAAUCUUCCGCAAUGGACGAAAGUCUGACGGAGCAACGCCGCGUGAGUGAAGAAGGAUUUCGGUUCGUAAAACUCUGUUGUUAGGGAAGAAAAAAUGUAUAGUAACUAUAUACAAAAGAGACGGUACCUAACCAGAAAGCCACGGCUAACUACGUGCCAGCAGCCGCGGUAAUACGUAGGUGGCAAGCGUUGUCCGGAAUUAUUGGGCGUAAAGCGCGCGCAGGUGGUUUAGAAAGUCUGAUGUGAAAGCCCACGGCUCAACCGUGGAGGGUCAUUGGAAACUAAUAAACUAGAGUGCAGGAGAGAAAAGUGGAAUUCCUAGUGUAGCGGUGAAAUGCGUAGAGAUUAGGAGGAACACCGGUGGCGAAAGCGGCUUUUUGGCCUGCAACUGACACUGAGGCGCGAAAGCGUGGGGAGCAAACAGG